This 253-nucleotide ribosomal RNA is filed under the name uncultured bacterium. RNAcentral's name for it is "partial 16S ribosomal RNA". It matches the Rfam family "Bacterial small subunit ribosomal RNA", at positions 524 to 776 of the family's 1533-position model. The record is from RNAcentral.
UACGUAGGAGACGAGCGUUGUCCGGAGUUACUGGGCGUAAAGGGUGCGCAGGUGGCGGCGCGCGUGGGGGGUGAAAUCGCCCGGCUUAACUGGGCGGGGGCCUUCCAGACGGCGUGGCUUGAGCAGCGGAGGGGGACGUGGAAUUCCGGGUGGAGCGGUGAAAUGCGUUGAUAUCCAGCGGAACUCCGGUGGCGAAGGCGAGGUGCUGGACCCUUUCUGACGCUGAGGCGCGAAAGCCAGGGGAGCAAACGGG